This is a long non-coding RNA of Melitaea cinxia (Glanville fritillary), 114 nucleotides long. RefSeq lists it as uncharacterized. The record is from RefSeq and is a predicted model, not a curated record. Lineage: Eukaryota; Metazoa; Arthropoda; Insecta; Lepidoptera; Nymphalidae. The transcript is spliced from 3 exons.
AUAAUUAUCUUUAUUAACAUAAUUUACUGAGGUGGGGUACAGCAAGAAAUAUUCUACUCAAAUCUGGAGCAGCCUGACUGGGGAAGUACCUCAACCUUACGGAAGACCACAGCU